This 253-nucleotide ribosomal RNA is filed under the name uncultured bacterium. RNAcentral's name for it is "partial 16S ribosomal RNA". It matches the Rfam family "Bacterial small subunit ribosomal RNA", at positions 524 to 776 of the family's 1533-position model. The record is from RNAcentral.
UACGGAGGGAGCAAGCGUUACUCGGAAUUACUGGGCGUAAAGCGCGUGUAGGCGGCUCGUUAAGUCCGGUGUGAAACCUUGGGGCUCAACCCCAAGCCUGCACUGGAUACUGACGAGCUCGAGUCCGGGAGGGGAGAGCGGAAUUCCUAGUGUAGCGGUGAAAUGCGCAGAUAUUAGGAAGAACACCGGUGGCGAAGGCGGCUCUCUGGAACGGUACUGACGCUGAGACGCGAAAGCGUGGGGAGCGAACAGG